RNAcentral lists this ribosomal RNA (402 nucleotides) under uncultured prokaryote. Its description in RNAcentral is "bacterial SSU rRNA". It matches the Rfam family "Bacterial small subunit ribosomal RNA", at positions 355 to 774 of the family's 1533-position model. The record is from RNAcentral.
UAGGGAAUAUUAGUAAUCGGCGAAAGCCUGAACUAGCAACACCGCGUGUGCGAAGAAGGCCUUCGGGUUGUAUAGCACUUUUUGAGAGGAUGAGGAAGGACGGUACUCUCAGAAUAAGUCUCGGCUAACUACGUGCCAGCAGCCGCGGUAACACGUAGGAGGCAAACGUUAUCCGGAUUUACUGGGCGUAAAGCGCGUGUAGGUGGUUUGGUAAGUAGAGCGCGAAAGCUCCUGGCUCAACUGGGAGAGGUCGUUCUAAACUGCCGGACUAGAGGAUGGUAGAGGGAGGUGGAAUUCCGGGUGUAGCGGUGGAAUGCGCAGAUAUCCGGAGGAACACCAGUGGCGAAAGCGGCCUCCUGGACCACUCCUGACACUCAGACGCGAAAGCUAGGGUAGCAAACG